Molecule: RNA transcript, 5180 nt
Organism: Girardinichthys multiradiatus
Lineage: Eukaryota; Metazoa; Chordata; Actinopteri; Cyprinodontiformes; Goodeidae
Gene: znf800b
Gene name: zinc finger protein 800b
Exons: 12
Source: RefSeq, a predicted model, not a curated record
AAGCCUCUGCCCGAAAUUGCCAGCUACAAUCGGACGCAGCGAGUGCACCUUUGCGCAGAGGCUGGUUUUAUACCGAGUGGGUCCUCUGGGUGCACAAAGACAGCGGCUCGCAGAGGAACUUGUUCAGAGCGAACCGGGGACGCUGGGAGGCGAAAUCCACAACCUCCAGAGUCCGAGUCUCAACAACCGUACUGUUUACCUCCUGAAGCCCUUUAUUCUGCUUCAGAUCUCAACAAUACAAGGUGUAAGCUGGUAGUGAACGUGUGGUACACCAGGCCAGUCUUGGGAACAUGGCAAAGGCCCCAAAAUCAGCUGGGAGGAAGACUUCUCACUGUCUCCGCAGACAGGGUGGUGGUCAGACGGACAUGGAGGAACUUAAUUUGGACACUCAGCAUCCACCACAGGGGCAGCCCAAGGGAGGAGAUCAAAUCGUUAUCCAAAAUACUUCUUCAGCUGGAAUUCUGUCGGAAAGCUGGGACCACAAGGAAACUCCGUUGGAGGCCGAGGAAAAGAGCGACACUGCUGCCCAUCCCCAAGCCAAGUCUCUGUGGAAGCCCAUUCCCCCUCUGCUGCCUGAACCCCACAGCAGCACCACCUCAGAGACCAGAGACCAGAGCUGCCAGACCGAGGAGCAGGUUCAGCCCACCACUGCCAACAGUCAUGGUCAUAACACAGGUUUCUGUGUUGAGCCUGGCGAUCCUCCUCUGCUCCAACAGCCUCUGCAGACCUCCAAGUCCGGGAUUCAGCAGAUAAUCGAAUGCUUCCGAUCUGGCACCAACCAGCUCAAAAGUAUGCUUCUGAGGGAGGUAGACACCAUCUUUGAGUGUAAACUGUGUCGCAGUCUGUUCAGAGGCCUCCCAAACCUCAUCACACACAAGGAGUACUACUGCUUAUCACGGCUGCCCGAAUCUGAUGGCUCGUCUGGUGAUGACAGACAGAGUGUAGCCAUGAAGGAUUUACUGGAUGCUAUAUAUCCCAGAGGUGACCGGCCUGACUAUGUGGUCCGACUAGAGCCUAUUCAGACCACCAACAAGGCGGUGUUCCAGUACCUCACCACAGAGGAGGAGCUGGCUAGAUAUUCAUCGCACACAACCAGUGCUAGAGAGAGCCCUGUUGCUUGGGAAAGAGAUACUAUGGAAGGUGUGGAAAACAAUCCAGUCAGUCAGGCAAGUGGAGCUGAGAGCCACAACAGCCCAGCACCGAGGAAACUGGAGGCUGACGAUGAGGCUAAAGAGGAGCAGCCAAAGCCUGAAGAUGAGGGGUCCAAUAGCGGGGUUGAGGAUGUGACCAUCUCCUGUUGUCUCUGUGGCCAAGACUUUAACUCCCGUCGGAGUAUCAGGCGUCACUGCCGCAAAAUGCACCAGACGAAACUCGAGGAGCUCCGAAAGUUCACAGAGACACGCACAGUUCCUACAAGCCUGCUCUCUAUGGUGAAAGGACGACCAAGGACUCUCAGUACUCCAACUGGAAAGUCCUGCCCAGUGUGCCUGAAAACCUUUGCCACCAAAGCCAACGUACGGCGGCACUUUGACGAGGUGCACCGGGGUCUACGGAGGGACACCAUCACACCCAGCAUUGCCUCAAGGCCAGGCCAGCCCUUCUCACUAGAAGUCACACCUCCGAGGAAGAACAGCAAUUCCUCCCCAACACGUGGCCACAACUCCAAGCCCACUGCUGUGAACUCUAAAACCACCACAUCAAACCAAAUCCUAGGGAAACCUCAGAGUCAGCCCCCGGCCUCCUCACAGACAAACUCGGUCUCAUGUCGAUGCACCCUGUGCAAGAGGAACUACAGCUCACAGCUUAUGUUGAAGAGACACAUGCGUAUAGUUCACAAGAUCUACAGUGUCAAAAGUAACAAGUCUGCUGGCACACCAUCCUCUGCUUCAGCUGUAAACACUCCUAACAGCAGCACCCCUAACGUGAGCCUUAGCAACAAUGUAAGAGUGAAGGAGGAAGCAGUGGAACCCUCGGAUGAAGAAGAUGACAUUGACAGCAGCCCUGCUCCAUCUCCCACUGACAACAGCGGGACCACUAAAGAGGUUCCACAAACUGUUCCGAAGGUAAAGGAGGAGGAAACCUCAUCCAGCCCAAAGAUGCCUCCAUCUCUGUCUUCAUCCUCGUCCCGUGGGGGCAACACGUACAGUACAAACAUGGCUGCCAAAAUCAGCAAACUGUCAGUGGGCUUUGACUUCAAGCAGCUCUUCUGCAAACUGUGCAAACGACAGUUCAGCUCACGGCAGAAUUUAACAAAGCACAUUGAACUGCACACAGAUGGCAAUGACAUCUUUAUCAAGUUCUACCGCUGCCCUCUAUGUCGCUAUGAGUCACGCCGCAAACGUGACGUCCUGCGUCAUGUGACAGUUGUCCACAAGAAGUCGUCGGCAUACCUUGCUAAGAUUAUGCCCAAACUAGAGAGCAGAGCUGUGAAGAGGCUGGCAGAGGUGGUCCUGAACACUACAAACAAGAGGCCAGGCAGCAGUGUCAAAGAGGAAAUGAAUGGGCGUCAUGGUUCAUCAUCGUCAUCCUCCUCCUCUUCUCCCUCACCUCCAAUCACCCGCAGACAAGAAGCCUCCACAGCUGCCCCAACUGCCACCUCAGCCUCCUCCUCCGCCCUGCCUCCUGCUCCUGUCACAAGGAAGCAGCAAGAGCUUUCAUCUCCGGUCUUAAGUCCUUCCCCUCCCGUCACCCGCAAGCAGGAGAGGCAACAGCCCCGCCCCAUCAGCCCUCCUCUCACCCGGCGCAGUGAGAAACACUCCCUCUCACGCAAUGCAUCCUCCUCGACCCCAUCCAGCAACCAAACCCCACACACCCGGCGACACGACGUCCAAUCAGAGAGCAGCUCUGUGACGUCAUCCACUGAAGUCAGAGUGACAAAGAAUUUCUCCCUUCAUGCUUGUGACCAGUGUGGGCGGGCGUUCGCUAAGAAGGAUAAGGUUCAGCUGCUGGGAAGAAAGUUUUGGGGAGCCCAAGAAAUUCCAGCAAGUGCCAGGCCUCCCUCCUUUAGAGAACUUGACUAAGGUACUGGGUUGCCACUAGAGCGAAGCUUGCUCAGGAAUGGCAGGAGCUACAUGUGAGUGUUUCUAAAUACCCUAAUACCCUUUUGCAAACUUUAUUUAAUUUGGUAUUCCCUUGUUCAAAUAAACUGAUCUUAACCAUACGUUGAAUUGUCACAUGAUGACUAUUAAAAUAAAGAUUUGUUUUGCUUCCACACCUUUUUCCAACCUUUACAUCUAGUUGUACUUGGAGUCACACAAGCGAAGCCAUCGAAAUGCUACGGUGGGAACAGCCAGCAGGAGGAAAGGAGUUAGCACCCGUUCCAAGUCUCUGGUCUGGUGAAGCGUACAGUACAUACAGAUUGCCACAAAUGAAGGACAGAGAGCCACACACAAUCGGAACACUUAACUGGAAAAAUGAGACUACUAGAGGAAGUACAAGGAGAACUUGGAAACAUGAAGGAAGAAACUAAACAGAGCCUUAUAAAGGAGCAUAGUCGCAUAAGAACUAAAACCAAUGUUGUAAACUGACGUAUGUAGUUUCAUAACGAAGCCAGACAGCCUGCUGCUAUCUACACAGAGACUCCAAUCUGCUGUACAUAUACAUAUCUGUAUUUACUCAUGUAAAUAUUGAGCUAUAUGCAGCCUACAGAUAUUUACUGCUUUGCUUACAUUAUCCUGCGUUUAGCGAGCGGAUGAAGGUAGUCUGCCUGAGUGAGUGGAACAAGGGGAUCAGAAACUGGAUUUUUGGGCUCAGUCGGAUCACAUGUAGAAGAUAUUUUUUGAAUUUUGUUCUUUCAAAAUGAAGAAUAUGACAACAUAAGUUAUCCUCAGCUGAACUAUGCCUGGUUUAUGGAUAUUUCACAAGCAUCUCAAGUCAACUACUUUGAACAUGUUUACAGUCAGACAUUUUUGGGUGAGGAUAAAAAUGUGAAUUUCCAUCCCUCUCAGUUAUUUUCCAAUUGAGUUAACUACUGUUGUUCUCUGCUGCUUUGCAUUACUGAAACAAGUCUAAGUUAACUCUCCUUUAUUUUGAAUUUGUUCUGAUUCAAAAGGUGGCUGUUCUCGCAAAUGGAAACAUCUCAAACCAGUCACUUUGUUUUUCAUUCUAAAACCUUCUUGCCUGAUUGACUCAGAUCUACAAUGAACUGUAACAAGUCCGAAGGAUAAGUCUGUUGUUUCCACAGAUGGUUGGAAACUUUAAAUAAUAUAUGAGAGACAGUUACAGUUAGGCGGAGGGUAAAAAAUUGACAUUUCAAGUUGCAACAGGUCACAGUCUUACUGCUGUACGUCUUUACGACAAUAACUGGGAGAAUUUACUUUCUGACUUCCUUCAUCUUGAGGUUACACCCUUCCAUAGCCCUGUUACACUUUAUCUUACCUUACAUCCUCAGUGCCUAAGAGCUGAUCCAGGUAAGCUAUAGAAAGCAAAACUAUUUCUGUCUGACAGGCCUAUACAAAUCUCUACACUGGAGCGUAUUUACAUUAACUGUCUGAUCUUAGCUGUUACCCUACCAACGUAAUCCAUUUAUUUUUACUAGUUUGUGCAGUUUGCUCAUUAAAAACUUGCUUUGCUUUGUGUGCAGCCAUUGAGCUUGUUAGAGAACAGCUCCUAAAGGUAGUCUUUAAAACACUGGGAAGAGUUUGGAGGAAAUGAAGACCAAGAGGAGAGGAGAGGAAGUGAGGAAGACCAAAUGUAGAUAUGUCUUAAUGUUCAAACUGUAAGCCAUGAAAAAGUACAAAAAGCGGAAAAAGGAAAGUCCAACCUUUUAUUUUUAUAACAAAGGCAUCUGCAGCAAACAUACUGUGUAUUAACUCAUCCUGUGCGGAUGGUAGAAGUAAUAGCUAUAAUAGAUCACAUACCUAUUUACUUAUUUGUCCAGAUGCUUCGAACAUGUUUGAGCUGUGAGCGCUUCAUUCUAAAGGAAGCUUAAGUUGCUCAACUUUUAGCUUUUUUAUUUAUUUUUUUUUCUGUUUUUUGAAACCUAUCAAGACAAAGACCUGACUUUGAACUCAAGAGGGUUUUAGUUCAUGUAUUUUUUUACCCCAAAGUUUCUUACAUCAGAUGUUGUAAUAUGUUAAGCUUUUUCCUCUAGAGGCCACCAGAAGUAGAAAAGCCUUUUCAGAUGUGACCAGAAUGUCAAAAGCCACUAUUUAAUAAAUAAAAACAUACUUCCUAAUGCA